AGAUCCAAGAUAUAGGACCAAUUCCCCAAGACUCGUGCAAUUCCACUUUCACUGGUCACUUUUAGUCUCAAAAUGAAGAGUAUUAUUGAUCAAACAAGCAUUUUUUAAAACACUUUUCUUUAAACCUCACAAGGACGAGUGGUCUAGCAAUCUCAGCGCCCCACGCACAGAAUGAACUGACAUACCUAAAGCCUUUCUGCACCCCUACUCCCCAUGACCUUCAGCUAUUUACAUCUGAUAUCCGACCCACUGCUCUCGGAAAAGGCAAACCUCCCUGAUUCAAUGAUAAUAGACCACACAGCGCAUACGCAUUCUCGCUGAUGGUUUGUGAUGGUGCCUGGUCCUUUUAGAGACAACCGUCAGUCCACAACCGGCGUUUCAGCACCGCAGCCGAUGACAGGAAUCUAAAUCUCCUGCUAUGAAAGAGUACUCUCAGAAGGAGGAUUCUUGUUGCAGGCCUGAGAGGUCACAGCCUCCCACUGCCUCCCCCUCUGGCAUACUUACACUGGGUGAAAUGGGGACACUGGCAUCCUGGACUGUCUGUUUGCGUGUUCCUGCGGCUCUUAGUGUCUGUUGAGGUCUGCGUGUAAUCACUUUUUCCUGCUGCCACAGUUUCCUUUAUUUUAUUGGUGCUCAGAGGUAUGUUUCCAUUCAUAAAAUCUUUAUACACUUCCAGCUUCGACAUGGAGAACAUCAUGUCUUGUGCAAUUAUGCCAUCUAGUGGGCACAUGUAGCUACUGCAAGAGCGCUCACAUAUCACAGUAGGUUGGCAAACACUGCCCCCAUGUGGUUUCUUGUUUUAACUACAUCUGAUUCACUUGGACAUCAAGUCUCUCUGGGGUUUAGCAGGUAAUUCUUCUUAUUAAAAUCUGUUAAACCUCAUUAAUUCUGUCUCACAUCAUUAAGACCUGAAUUAAACUCGGCUUAUUUGCGAGGGUAGGUACCUUCUGUCAUUAGCGUGCGCGCAUAUGAUAGUGAGAGGUGAUUCCUCUCUCUUGUCUUCUCUAUAUUACCUUUCAGUCACUCUAAUGAAGGCUCCUCCUACAGAUCCAUUAUGAAGGCUUUUCUGGCACAACACAUCAUUAGAGGAGAAGGAAGAAGACAAAGGGGCCCGAGGUUUGAUAGAGUAUUUGAUAAAUUCAGAUCAAAUGUAAUGAGAACACUACUGGGAGGAGAUUCAGGUUUAUGAAGGUUAGCUGGUGAAGAACAGGGCCAAACAUCUGCGCAGGUUCUCCUUUGUCCAGGUGGUGGUUAUCCAAGGGUAGGGUUGUAAAGGGGCGCAAAAUUUCUGGUUAAGCCUGGUAAUUUUGGAAAUAUUCCAAAUUGGAAACUUUACAUGGGAAUUAUGGGAAUUUAUGGGAAUUAACUGGAAAUUGGGGGUAAAUUAAACAAACUGUAUCAUAUCCAAACAUAAAUGUCAAUAUUUUUUCUUCAUUAGCUUGUGUGAAAUGUUUCCACACAUCAGAUGGCGAUCGUGGUAUUUUUCUGUAGAAUAAAAUAACAAAAAAGCUCGUAAAAACGGAUGCAAUGGCAUAAACAGACAUAUAGUCAGCUAAACAACUGGAAUGGUCUUCAGAAUAUUUGACAAUUGAUGUAUAAGUUGGCUACAGAAAACUGUCUCGCAGGAGUCAGAAGAAACAGCAUCACAUUUGAAGUAGAUACUAGGGCCUGACUGAAAUAGAUUUUUUGGAGUUGAUGCCGAUACCUAUUAUUGGGGGGGGGGGGGAUCUGAUUACCGAUAAUCUGCCGAUUAUUUACAUUUUUUUAUUAAGUUAUAAAAUAUAUAUAUACAUACUGUAGAUAUCUAUAGUAUACUAUAUACUGUAAAUAUACUGUAGGCUACUGCUCUUCACGCCCACAGGAAGACCGACUGAUCAAACUCAGACCAGAAAAUCGUUUUCAACUAACCCCCGACUCUCCUCUGUGCGUCCCUGAACUGCCUGCUUCAGAUCCGUAACUCUGCUGUGCUGUGAGGUAGUUAGUGGAUGAAGAUUUUUAUGAGGUCGCUGCGCCAUCUACAGGAUAAGUCGGGGGAUCUUUUCAAACGGUGGAACUUUUUCAAAGUGAAACCGAAUCUUAUUCUCCGGAUUAGUCUGAAAUGGGCAAAAAUUGGCAGAUUUAAUCGGCUCGCCGAUAAAUCGGUCGGGCCCUAGUAGAUACCACCACCAUAAUAAGCUAACCCCUUAAAUAGUCAAUAGCUUACAUUUAGCAACUAUUUUUAUUUAAUUUUUGCAAGUUAAAUAUUAAUACUAUAAGAGAUCAAAUAUAUUUACCUCAUAAUAUUAUCAAAACUUACUUGACUUUAUAUAGUCCGUGGGCUCAAAUGUUUUGUGCUUUGGGCUCUAAAGUCUGGCCUCCAGGAUUCAAGAAAUCACCUGUGCAUGUGAUGGUGGAGUGAACUUGCAUUAAAUCUGGUUGUUUUAGCCAAGAUUAUGCUAUAAUAUAAUUUCCCCAACUAUAUUUAAGUUCUGUUGAGGGCCAACCUUUAAUUUUGUAAAUUUCAGAUUAAUUCCCAUUAAUUUCCAAGGAAAGUUUCCAACUUUGAAAAUUCCCGGAAUCUUGCAACCCUAUCCAAGGGGCUACUGUACUUGGCUGAACUUCUUGACCAGGAUGCACCUCUCCUUUAUAAAAGGCUUCUUCAGUUUUUAAAGAUGGUCAGAGUCAGCAAGAAGUCCUUGGCAAAGUUGUUGACGGCUCUGCCAAAAACUAAUCAGAACUCGUACCAAGUACACCAAGUUUUUCUGAUAUCCAAGUGGAUGGACCAAACUUGGUGUACUUCCAAUCAAGUUUAAACUCUUAUUUUUUUGGCAAAGGGGGGUUUUUGGUUUUAUUUAACAAGAUAGUUGGAGAGAGAUGGAAAUAUGUGGUAGACCAGGCGAAGAGGACUACAGACUCUGCACCAAACUGGCAUUUUAAUGAUUGAAUUCACCCUCUCAUCUUGCAGCCACAUGCGUUCAAACACAGUGUCUACACAUAUGUGUCGGGACAAAGCAGACAGACACUAGACAUAUUCAUCACGUCAUUCAGAGGAAACACCAGUCUGCAGACGAUGCCACAUUAACUUCAGUGAUGAUGACGGAUAAACUUCACCUCACAGCUUUACGAUUGAUCCACCUGGUUUUACGCAGUUUCUACAAACGUCACCUAAACCUCAGAAACCUCCUCUCUGCUGCACAAAUCUUCACUGCUCACUUCAAUUCAUGCAAAAGACUGACUUUAAAAAACGGGACGACUACAUUUCUGUCAAAUACUGACUGAUACGCAUUAUUACCUUUGCACUUAAUGGGUGUCUGGGGGUUACAUGCAUCAUUGCUUUUCAUCAUGAGGUCAAACUCGAGCUCUUAAAACAAUUACUUUUCCCAUUAAUGUCUUUAAAACUCCCCCUGUCUUGUCCGAUCCCGUCCAAUGUCACUAUCACCUCCUGCACCCCCUUUUUUUUGUCCUCCCACUUCGGGCCCACGGGGAGAUAAUAUUUUCUAAUUUCUGGAACACAAUGAGGGGGAUGCAAACAGACGGUCCACCUUAAUCUAUCACAGCUCCUUCUAGGGUGCAGGGGUGCGCCGUGACAGGCACAAAAUCGCAGAGCCGGUGGGGAGGAGGGCAACAGAAGCAAUUAAGGCUCAUGAAAUGCAAAUGGCGCCUUGUGCAAGAGGAGGGUAUGGGAUACGGGGGCGGGGGGGAGCUUGGUUUCCCCUAGUCUUGCUGCUGCCAUCUGCUUGCCAUCACCAGCAGUGGAGGAACCUCUGGGUCUUGGUAAUUUGUAGCUUUAAUAAUUUUCUCCUUCAGCUGGAGAAGAAAGAGAUGAAGCUGAAAGAGGCCGAGGACGUGCAGCUGGCCGAGAUUAGAUUUAGAUUAGCCGCUCGGAUCACAUGGAGAGCUGACCUCUUACAUUUUAGCACGGGCAUAAACACACUGGCAUGUUCACACGAAAGCAUGCAUCACAUGUGCAGCUUGCAGACUUCCUUCCAUCUCCGUACAAUACUCCUCUAUGCCCCAUCAAAGUUGACCCUGAUCCAAGGUGGACGUCUGGCCCAGUGGGUCCAUAAAUCCCCGAGGACGUCUAGAGGUUAUUUAGGAACAUGAUCCCUGGACGCUGAGGGCCGGGUUGUAACCUCAGGAACAGAUCCCGGACCUCACUUUCCCUGGAGUACUGUUUAAAGGGGUCAAAGUGGACACAGUGUGUUUUUUCGACCAUUUUCCCCAAAGAAUCGGACGUACAUUUAUCAUGCGGGAAAACAGGACCGUAUUGAGUCAACAGACCAGAACUCCUUCAAACACCCACCGUUCAAGCCCAUUCCCAGGGUCAAGACCAGGCCAAGGUCAGCAACAAUCGUAUCUGACCCCUGACCCUGCCGACGUCCAUCAUGGUAAAGGAAUAAAGCAAAGAUUGGCAGCCGAUGUAGUCAAGAAGUAAAUCAACUUCAGCUUAAGCCAUACAUCAAAAUUACUUCCACGGACACGCAUCGCCACUGAGAGGCUAAUCAUUUUAACGGGAAUAAAGCGAGUUUGGAUGGACGGCAGCUGCUUUGUUGUGGAGCAAGAGCGAAGACUUGUGUUAAAAUGUGCCUUUAAAUAAAGUUAGAGCCUUCAGGAAUAAGGCUUGAUUAAUGAUACUUAAGUUAAAGCUCCUAUAAGGAUGUUUUAGCCAGUAACACCAGAUUGGAGUUAACUAUUCAAACAAGAUUAUCUGCAAGGAGACUGAUGAAAAGUAAUUGUUCAUUUUUAGUGCACGUUUAUGCAGCUGUGGGGUAAAUACUAGACAAGAUGACGCUACGUUGCAUAAAACAAUUUUUUUUAGAGUUAUGCUUAGAGAAUGCUUACUCAGCAAAAGGGAUGAAGAAUAAUAGGCACCGGGGGCACCGAAAUCUACAACACGAGCUUUAAAGGGAUAUUCCGGCGUAAAACUAAUUUAGGGUCAAACACACUGUAACACCCCCUUGAGAGAUGAAUGUUGCAGACCUCUUGCUUCUCUAGUUAUACCAACUUUAGUAACAACCGCAGGAUAGCAAUACACAGCAGUCUGAGGAGCCAUAAACAAACUUCAACUAAAAAGCCACUCUAUAGCCACAAAUAAUGCUCAGAACAGCACCUAACUUCAUCAAUAGUACAUAUAGGGUCCCAGCCAUCGCACUAGCCACCAAACAUCUUUUUAACUUUGCCUAAUUUCUUUAGUAAAGAGACUAAACACAACUCACCUACUCUCCUCCAGCAGCUACAUGUUUGUAUGGAGACCUCAGGCCAGUUCAUUACGGACUACAGUGGGGUGACGCAGCUCAAGGAAGAACAUUUAUGAUCAUUACUUUAUCACUUCCUUUAAGUCAUGAUCAUCAUAUUAAUCAUUUUGCACUGCAGACACGGUAGUUCUUCUGUCUUAGAGUCUCGGUCUCAAGAAAUGAUCAUAAAUGUUCUUCCUUGAGCUGCGGCAACCAGCUGUAGUCCGUAAUGGACUGGCUUGAGGUCUCCAUACAAACAAGCGGCUGCUGGAAGAGAGAGGGUGAGUAGUGAUUGCUAAAGAAAUAAGAUGUUUGAUGGUUUGUACUGUGGCUGGGACCCUAUAUGUCCUGUUGAUGAAGUUAGGUGCUGUUCUGAGCAUUAUUUGUGGCUAUAGAGUGGCGUUUUGGUUGAGUGCGUAGCUCUCUGUAUUGCUAUCGUGCGGUCGUUACUAAAGUUGCUAUAACUAGAGAAGCAAGCAAUCGGCAACAUUCAUCUCUUGAGGGGGUGUCUAACUCUAAUUCGCCGGAAUAUCCCUUUAAGUUUUGUUUUGCAGUAAAGUUUCCUAAGUACUGAUCAUAAGACUGUGAAUUAGGACCACUUCUGUAAACUGAGUAGAAAACUCCUGUUAAUUAAGUCAAGAUUUGGUCCAUGGAUCAUGCUAACGCUAGGUGUGCACAGCUCAAUUUCAAGUGUUCCCAAACAAGGCCAACUUUACUUUCCCUUCCUGCCUCAUGAAACCCAAAAUGCUGAUAGAAAUACGCCGUUCAUUGAGAAGUUGAGCCACACACAUAUUUUAGUCAGGCAAUGCCUCAAAAGUUCAAUGACCUUUAAGUUGAAAAGCCUCUGACAGCCAAUCCACCCAAUCUGGACCAAAUGUGUUGCAGCGUAAAUGACCGUGAGUCAUGCCUGACAGGCAUGAUGGACGCAUGCCACACGAGUAAAGUCAAAGCAUGUGCCUCUACUGGAUUUCAUUUCAAUGCAACCUGCUCUGACAGGGUCGCGAUAGGAAUCUCUCAGCUCUAUAUGGAGCAGGCAAUGUGUCAUUGUAAUUAUAGCAUUUAACACUCACACCAUGCACACAAAGGCACAGACUGCAAGACAAAAAGAGCCGGCGGAGUUUCAGGGCUGGCAUUGAGCAGAGAGAACAAGGCUGCUUUUACUCUCUGCAGACAGACAGACAGAAAGCACUCAUGAGGUCCAGUAAAGCGGAGUACUGGUCAGACAGACUGCAGUAAAAGUUCUCUGAAUGGUGUCGAUGAAGCCUCAUAAAUUCCCC
This is a non-coding RNA of Xyrichtys novacula (pearly razorfish), 6490 nucleotides long. NCBI's taxonomy places the organism in Eukaryota, Metazoa, Chordata, Actinopteri, Labriformes, Labridae. The record is from the annotation of a GenBank genome assembly.